CUGUCCUGAUAUCUGGAAUAACACUCCGAAAGGUGUGCUAAUACCGGAUACGCUGAGAAAUCAGGAAAGGUGGCCUCUUCAUGAAAGCUACUGUAUCAGGAGGAGCUUGCGUACCAUUAGCUAGUUGGUGGGGUAAUGGCCUACCAAGGCAACGAUGGUUAGCGGGUCUGAGAGGAUGAUCCGCCACACUGGAACUGGAACACGGACCAGACUCCUACGGGAGGCAGCAGUGAGGAAUAUUGCGCAAUGGGGGCAACCCUGACGCAGCGACGCCGCGUGGAUGAUGAAGGCCUUCGGGUCGUAAAAUCCUGUCAGAUGGAAAGAAAUGUCAUAUGCCUAAUAUGUGUAUGAUUUGACGGUACCAUCAAAGGAAGCACCGGCUAACUCCGUGCCAGCAGCCGCGGUAAUACGGAGGGUGCAAGCGUUGUUCGGAAUUACUGGGCGUAAAGCGCGCGUAGGCGGCUUUUUAAGUCAGAUGUGAAAGUCCACGGCUCAACCGUGGAAGUGCAUUUGAUACUGGGAAGCUUGAGUACUGGAGGGGAUGGUGGAAUUCCCGGUGUAGAGGUGAAAUUCGUAGAUAUCGGGAGGAAUACCGGUGGCGAAGGCGACCAUCUGGCCAGAUACUGACGCUGAGGUGCGAAAGCGUG
Molecule: ribosomal RNA, 647 nt
Filed under: Desulfobulbaceae bacterium PR6_B04
Lineage: Bacteria; Pseudomonadati; Thermodesulfobacteriota; Desulfobulbia; Desulfobulbales; Desulfobulbaceae
Also listed under: 1 other name
Description: bacterial SSU rRNA
Rfam family: Bacterial small subunit ribosomal RNA
Source: RNAcentral